CCUCAAUCAGGGUAAAAGUGUGACAUUUGCUGAGAAGGGUUUUGGCAGACUUCUGGAUUGAUGUUUUCCCUCCUUAUCCUCAGGUUUAGCAGACCAAGCAUUGAUUCAACAUAGAGUGUGUUUCCCUCUUUCCAGGUUUCUGGGCCCAGUCUGCUCUGACUCAGCCUCUCUCAGUCUCUGGAACUCCUGGACAGUCAGUCACCAUCUCCUUUGCUGGAACCAGAAGUGACAUUGGGAAAUAUAAUCAUGUGUCCUGGUUCCAAAGUCAUCCAGGAACAACCCAUAAACUCAUGAUUCACGGUGUUAGUAGUCAGCCCUCAGGGAUCCCUGACCACUUCUCUGGCUUCAAGUCUGGCAUUACAGCCUCUCUCACCAUUUCUGGUCUGCAGCUGGAGGAUGAGGCUGAUUACUACUGCUGUUCAUAUGCAGGCAAUUACAUUUACCACAGUGGGC
RNAcentral lists this long non-coding RNA (453 nucleotides) under Marmota monax (woodchuck). Lineage: Eukaryota; Metazoa; Chordata; Mammalia; Rodentia; Sciuridae. The record is from RNAcentral.